Molecule: ribosomal RNA, 468 nt
Filed under: uncultured bacterium
Lineage: Bacteria
Description: partial 16S ribosomal RNA
Rfam family: Bacterial small subunit ribosomal RNA
Source: RNAcentral
GAUGAACGCUGGCGGCGUGCUUAACACAUGCAAGUCGAACGGAAAGGCCCAAGCUUGCUUGGGUACUCGAGUGGCGAACGGGUGAGUAACACGUGGGUGAUCUGCCCUGCACUUCGGGAUAAGCCUGGGAAACUGGGUCUAAUACCGGAUAGGACGAUGGUUUGGAUGCCAUUGUGGAAAGUUUUUUCGGUGUGGGAUGAGCUCGCGGCCUAUCAGCUUGUUGGUGGGGUAAUGGCCUACCAAGGCGUCGACGGGUAGCCGGCCUGAGAGGGUGUACGGCCACAUUGGGACUGAGAUACGGCCCAGACUCCUACGGGAGGCAGCAGUGGGGAAUAUUGCACAAUGGGCGCAAGCCUGAUGCAGCGUCGCGGCGUGGGGGAUGACGGCCUUCGGGUUGUAGACUCCUUUCGCUAGGGACGAAGCGUUUUUGUGACGGUACCUGGAGAAGAAGCACCGGCUAACUACGUG